GGUUCGAUUCUGGCUCAGAUUGAACGCUGGCGGGAUGCUUUACACAUGCAAGUCGAACGGCAGCACGGACUUCGGUCUGGUGGCGAGUGGCGAACGGGUGAGUAAUGUAUCGGAACGUGCCUAGUAGCAGGGGAUAACUACGCGGCGUAGCUAAUACCACAUACGCCCCAUGGGGGAAGCGAGGGGACCUUCGGGCCUCACUAUUAGAGCGGCCGAUAUCGAUUAUUGAUUGGUGGGGUAACGGCUCACCAGGCGGCGAUCGUAGCUGGUUUGAGAGGACGACCAGCCACACUGGGACUGAGACACGGCCCAGACUCCUACGGGGAGGCAGCAGUGGGGAAUUUUUGGACAAUGGGGAAACCCUGAUCCAGCCAUCCCGCGUGUGCGAUGAAGGCCUUCGGGUAUAUGCAAGCACUUUUGGCAGAAGAAACGGCACGGGAUAUUACCCGUGCAGCUGACGGUACCUGCAGGUAAGCACCGGCUAACUACGUGCCAGCAGCCGCGGUAAUACGUAGGGUGCAAGCGUUAAUCGGAAUUACUGGGCGUAAAGCGUGCGCGAGCGGUUCGGAAGAAAGAUGGCAAAUCCCAGAGCUUAACUUUGGAACUGCAUUUUAACAUUACCGAGCUAGAAGAGGCUCAGAAGAGGAGGCGAGAUUUGCAGCAGUGAAAUGCAUGGCCUGCAACACCGAUGCAGGCAUCUCCUGGGUGCUACAACGGCGCUCAUGCACAGCGAUGGAGUAAACAGGAUCGACACCUGGUUCAGUCACGCCUAAACGAUGUCAACUGUAUUGGAGCCUUCUGGGCACUGGCAGCACUAACGCUGAGGUCAGGCCGCCGGAUCUCGGUGCAGGUAAAACUCAGGAGUGACGGGAUCGCACAGCGGGCAGAUGUGUGGGUUAAUUCGAUUACGCAACACGCGAAAACCUUACCUAUUCACACACCAACAUAUCUGGAUCCGGAAAGAUUUAGGAAUUAUCGCAAGGGGGACCGGAACUCAGGUGCUGCAUAGCGUGUCAAGCUCGUGUCGAGAUGUUGGGUUAAGUCCGCAGCACAACCUGUGUCAUUAGUUGCUACGAAAAGGGCACUCUAAUAGGACUGCCGGUGACAAACCGGAGGAAGGUGGGGAUGACGUCAAGUCCUCGCGGCCCUUAUGGGUAGACUUCACACGUCAUACAAUGGUCGGGACAGAGGGUCGCCAGCCCGCGAGGCCAAUCCCAAGCCCGAUCGUAGUCCGGAUCGCAGUCUGCAACUCGACUGCGUGAAGUCGGAAUCGCUAAUCGCGGAUCAGCAUGUCGCGGUGAAUACGUUCCCGGGUCUUGUACACACCGCCCGUCACACCAUGGGAGUGGUUUUACCAGAAGUAGUUAGCCUAACCGUAAGGAGGGCGAUUACCACGGUAGGAUUCAUGACUGGGGUGAAGUCGUAACAAGGUAG
RNAcentral lists this ribosomal RNA (1434 nucleotides) under uncultured Bordetella sp. RNAcentral's name for it is "partial 16S-23S ribosomal RNA intergenic spacer". It matches the Rfam family "Bacterial small subunit ribosomal RNA". The record is from RNAcentral. Lineage: Bacteria; Pseudomonadati; Pseudomonadota; Betaproteobacteria; Burkholderiales; Alcaligenaceae.